RNAcentral lists this transfer-messenger RNA (367 nucleotides) under Chloroflexales bacterium. It matches the Rfam family "transfer-messenger RNA". From Rfam's summary of the family: Bacterial tmRNA, also known as 10Sa RNA or SsrA, is named for its dual tRNA and mRNA-like properties. Its role is to liberate the mRNA from a stalled ribosome. The record is from Rfam by way of RNAcentral. Lineage: Bacteria; Bacillati; Chloroflexota; Chloroflexia; Chloroflexales.
GGGGAUGCUUGGUUUCGACAGGGGAGGAACGACGCGGAUCGCAAGCCGAGGCGCCCAGUCUCGUAAAAAGGGCACGGCAUUUAACUGCCAACAACAACAACCGGGCUUACGCUCCUCGCGUAGCCCUCGCUGCCUAAUUAGGUAGCGCGUUCACCCGUACUCACCCCUGCGGUGCGGGCUGAACGUCAACAGUGGGGGUGCUCCCGGCGCGACCGCCUGCUGACGCCGGGUUAAGAUUAGCGGACUUGCCCAAAGGCCACUUCGCUCGUUGUGAGGUCGAGGGCGAGCUAUAAACAGCGAGACAAGCUUGUAGCAUAUCUGCGGCCUACUUUUCUGGACGGGGGUUCGACUCCCCCCAUCUCCACCA